GACGAACGCUGGCGGCGCGCCUAACACAUGCCAGUCGAACGGAGCUGAGAGAAGCUUGCUUUUCUUAGCUUAGUGGCGAACGGGUGAGUAACGCGUGAGUAACCUGCCCUGGAGUGGGGGACAACAGUUGGAAACGACUGCUAAUACCGCAUAAGCCCACGAUCCGGCAUCGGAUUGAGGGAAAAGGAUUUAUUCGCUUCAGGAUGGACUCGCGUCCAAUUAGCUAGUUGGUAAGGUAACGGCCCACCAAGGCGACGAUUGGUAGCCGGACUGAGGGGUUGAACGGCCACAUUGGGACUGAGACACGGCCCAGACUCCUACGGGAGGCAGCAGUGGGGGAUAUUGCACAAUGGGGGAAACCCUGAUGCAGCGACGCCGCGUGGAGGAAGAAGGUUUUCGGAUUGUAAACUCCUGUCGUUAGGGACGAUAAUGACGGUACCUAACAAGAAAGCACCGGCUAACUACGUG
RNAcentral lists this ribosomal RNA (468 nucleotides) under uncultured bacterium. RNAcentral's name for it is "partial 16S ribosomal RNA". It matches the Rfam family "Bacterial small subunit ribosomal RNA", at positions 28 to 507 of the family's 1533-position model. The record is from RNAcentral.